CCUACGGGAGGCUGCAGUGGGGAAUAUUGGACAAUGGGCGAAAGCCUGAUCCAGCCAUGCCGCGUGUGUGAAGAAGGCCUUCGGGUUGUAAAGCACUUUCAGUGGGGAAGAAAGCCUUGGGGCUAAUACCCUCGAGGAAGGACAUCACCCACAGAAGAAGCACCGGCUAACUCCGUGCCAGCAGCCGCGGUAAUACGGAGGGUGCGAGCGUUAAUCGGAAUUACUGGGCGUAAAGCGCGCGUAGGCGGUCUGAUAAGCCGGUUGUGAAAGCCCCGGGCUCAACCUGGGAACGGCAUCCGGAACUGUCAGGCUAGAGGGCAGGAGAGGAAGGUAGAAUUCCCGGUGUAGCGGUGAAAUGCGUAGAGAUCGGGAGGAAUACCAGUGGCGAAGGCGGCCUUCUGGACUGACACUGACGCUGAGGUGCGAAAGCGUGGGUAGCAAACAGGAUUAGAUACCCUUGUAGUC
Molecule: ribosomal RNA, 465 nt
Filed under: Vreelandella stevensii
Lineage: Bacteria; Pseudomonadati; Pseudomonadota; Gammaproteobacteria; Oceanospirillales; Halomonadaceae
Description: partial 16S ribosomal RNA
Rfam family: Bacterial small subunit ribosomal RNA
Source: RNAcentral